ACAAGCGGUGGAGCAUGUGGUUUAAUUCGAUGCAACGUGAAAACCUUACCCACCUUUGACAUGUACGGAAUCCUUUAGAGAUAGAGGAGUGCUCGAAAGAGAACCGUAACACAGGUGCUGCAUGGCUGUCGUCAGCUCGUGUCGUGAGAUGUUGGGUUAAGUCCCGCAACGAGCGCAACCCUUGUCAUUAGUUGCUACAUUCAGUUGGGCACUCUAAUGAGACUGCCGGUGACAAACCGGAGGAAGGUGGGGAUGACGUCAAGUCCUCAUGGCCCUUAUAGGUGGGGCUACACACGUCAUACAAUGGAUGGUACAAAGGGUCGCCAACCCGCGAGGGGGAGCCAAUCCCAUAAAGCCAUUCGUAGUCCGGAUCGCAGUCUGCAACUCGACUGCGUGAAGUCGGAAUCGCUAGUAAUCGUGGAUCAGAAUGUCACGGUGAAUACGUUCCCGGGUCUU
RNAcentral lists this ribosomal RNA (456 nucleotides) under uncultured Acidovorax sp. Its description in RNAcentral is "bacterial SSU rRNA". It matches the Rfam family "Bacterial small subunit ribosomal RNA", at positions 925 to 1382 of the family's 1533-position model. Lineage: Bacteria; Pseudomonadati; Pseudomonadota; Betaproteobacteria; Burkholderiales; Comamonadaceae. The record is from RNAcentral.